Molecule: microRNA precursor, 206 nt
Filed under: Oryza nivara
Lineage: Eukaryota; Viridiplantae; Streptophyta; Magnoliopsida; Poales; Poaceae
Description: MIR812 microRNA precursor family
Rfam family: MIR812 microRNA precursor family
Source: Rfam by way of RNAcentral
AAUAAGUGCAGCUGUGGGUAUCCGUGUCCAACGUUUGAUUGUCCGUCUUAUUUGAAAAAUUUAUAAAAGAUUAAAAAAAAUAGUCACACAUAAAGUGUUAUUCAUAUUUUAUCAUUUAAUAACAAUAAAAAAUAUUAAUCAUAAAAAUAUUCAAAUAAGAUGAACGAUCGAACGUUGGACAUAAAUAGUGCAAAACCGCAUUUAUU